Molecule: ribosomal RNA, 216 nt
Filed under: Glomeromycotina sp.
Lineage: Eukaryota; Fungi; Glomeromycota
Description: partial small subunit ribosomal RNA
Rfam family: Eukaryotic small subunit ribosomal RNA (bases 47-216)
Source: RNAcentral
GGGUCAGUAGGUUGGUCGUGCCACCGGUACGUACUGGUCUCACUGGUUCCUCCUUCCUGAAGAACCGUAAUGCCAUUAAUUUGGUGUUGCGGGGAAACAGGACUGUUACUUUGAAAAAAUUAGAGUGUUUAAGGCAAGCUAACGCUUGAAUACAUUAGCAUGGAAUAAUGAAAUAGGACGAUCGAUCCUAUUUUUUUGGUUUCUAGGAUUGACGUA